RNAcentral lists this ribosomal RNA (446 nucleotides) under uncultured bacterium. RNAcentral describes it as "partial 16S ribosomal RNA". It matches the Rfam family "Bacterial small subunit ribosomal RNA", at positions 338 to 795 of the family's 1533-position model. The record is from RNAcentral.
CCUACGGGUGGCAGCAGUCGAGAAUCAUUCACAAUGGGGGAAACCCUGAUGGUGCGACGCCGCGUGGGGGAAUGAAGGUCUUCGGAUUGUAAACCCCUGUCAUGUGGGAGCAAAUUAAAAAGAUAGUACCACAAGAGGAAGAGACGGCUAACUCUGUUCCAGCAGCCGCGGUAAUACAGAGGUCUCAAGCGUUGUUCGGAAUCACUGGGCGUAAAGCGUGCGUAGGCUGUUUAGUAAGUCGUGUGUGAAAGGCGCGGGCUCAACCCGCGGACGGCACAUGAUACUGCGAGACUAGAGUAAGGGAGGGGGAACCGGAAUUCUCGGUGUAGCAGUGAAAUGCGUAGAUAUCGAGAGGAACACUCGUGGCGAAGGCGGGUUCCUGGACAUUAACUGACGCUGAGGCACGAAGGCCAGGGGAGCGAAAGGGAUUAGAUACCCUUGUGGUC